Anopheles funestus (African malaria mosquito) is the source of this 2108-nucleotide RNA transcript. It is a transcript of the gene named suppressor of lurcher protein 1, with no coding region annotated. Lineage: Eukaryota; Metazoa; Arthropoda; Insecta; Diptera; Culicidae. The record is from RefSeq and is a predicted model, not a curated record. The transcript is spliced from 10 exons.
CUAGCGUGCCGAAGCUUCACAGCUGGAACGUGUGCCUUGCCUAGCAGGAUGCUGAUACUGUCGGUAGUGUCCUUUCUGCUAUCUGGCAGGUUAGUUUACCUUUAAGCGGAACGGUUACGCGGCCCCAUUCUACAUUGUGUUUUCGUGUGACGUAGCGUUGCUUUCCAACUCAAGAAGUAUUACACUAGAAUAGAGAUAUAGUCAUGUAAGGGGUUUGUUUCGUUCGUGUAAUCUACAACCCAAAGUGAAUGAAAUUAUCCACCAAACCACGGCUUUGGUUGGCCGGGUUUGUUUCGUCUGUGUAAAACAACCGAACCAAGAGCUCUCCAGCAGAACGAACAGCAGCCGCAUAAAAUGUACGACACCCAUUGUUGGGUUUAUUAGUGGCCAACGAACAAGCAUCGCUACUCACAUACGAGCAUCUUGGCCUGGUUUGGUUAGUUCCGAAGCCUUCGGAGUAGCGUCUAAUCAAGCCCCCCCAACCCACACCGACAGCAUUACCCCGUGUGACAAACGCUCGCCAGUGAUAAUGGAACACGCUCAUCAAUUAGUAAAGGUGACGAAUUUCAUGCUACACUUGAUGCUGCUGCUACCACUGCAGACAACAACGACCAGCAGUGGCAGCGGUGGAAAUCCACCAAUGAAUACCAACGCCAUCGUUGGUGCGUCUGGUGUGGCGGGAAAAUCUUCCACUGAUUUCGUCGGCCCGAUCGGUACGAUCGCGAGCAGCGGGCGCGAAAGGUCGCACUUAAAAGGAACUGGAGGCUGCAAUCGAGUAGUGUUCAGCUCAAGUCGCAUCCGGAACGGCAGUAUCGCACCAUCCCAUUCGAAACAUUCCGGUCUGUUUCCAUCGAGUUUGUGCCAGCUGUACGAGUUCGUGGGCGAUGGUGCGGAACGUGUUCAGAUCAUCUUUUCGGAGUUCCGGCUUCCGUCGAAGCUUGGCCCAACCGAAUGCGGUGACACGGAUAUCCUAAUGGUAAUUAAUUUUCACUUACAUACCAUUCCUUCGGUGUGGCAUCGUACCGUUCUUGUCUUUUAUCCAAACGCCUGCCAAACCAACGAUCUGCUACCACGCGUCUGGUUUACUACAUCGUUAACGACCGCGAGGAGCUGGUGGAAACACUCUGCGGUGACACACUUCCUAAGCCGAUACUUUCCGACGGUCCACGGUUACUGCUGGAACUACGCAGCAGCUACAACAAUACGGAAAACAAGGGAUUUACGGGAGAUUUUUUCUUUCUCACAAAUUUUGGCAUACCUGCCGGAUAUCAACCGAACCAGUCUGAGUGCACCUUUCACUACUUUCGGAACGUCACCAGCCAAGGAUGGAUUCAGUCACCGAACUUCCCCGGAGCUUAUCCAAGAAACAUCAUCUGUAACUAUUUCUUUCACGGCAGACCCAACGAUUUCGUCCACGUGCGUUUCACAUACUUCGACAUCGAAGGAAUACGACCCUGCGACGAGGACACUGCCAGCGAUUACGUGGAGUUUUCUAAUUUUGUCACGCGCGAUCGCAAAUACGCCAUGUACUGUGGUAACUGGCGUGAGCUUGUGGUACGCUCGGAUGGCCGUUUCUUUCGCAUUACGAUGGCAUCGAACGAUCGUCUGGAUGGGACCGGGUUUCGGGCACUGUACACGUUCGAAACGGUACAGAUCGAGACGACGGAGCGGAUCGAGGAAGCGUCGAUUGGCAAGGUCACUACGACCAGUGCCGCCGGCAGGCUGUGCGGCUUACUGUACCCGGUUACACUGUUUACGGCAGCUUCCUCAACUACCGGCCUGACAAAAAUCAUCAUCAUUAGUAUCAUUAGUAGCUACAAGUUAAUAAAAUUUCGUCAAGACUGAUGUUCUAGCACAUUUCGGCGCUUGUGUGGAUUGUGAACAUGCAUAAAAUAAAUAGUUCAGAAUUUCGCUAAAAGUAUAUGGAAAACCGAAUGAUGAAAAUGGUCAAGCGAAUCUUUGAAAAGGACUGUGCAUGAGCAUUCUACUCUAAAAGAAAAUAAUUUUAAUGUAUAUUAUUAAUGAUAGAAAUGAAUGAAUGAACAAUUGUAAUGUUAGAACACGUGAAACUUUUUACACUGUACAAAUAAAGAUUUUAAAUUUCACUG